ACGGAAGGCAGCAGUGGGGAAUAUUGCACAAUGGGGGAAACCCUGAUGCAGCGACGCCGCGUGAGUGAAGAAGUAUUUCGGUAUGUAAAGCUCUAUCAGCAGGGAAGAAAAUGACGGUACCUGACUAAGAAGCUCCGGCUAAAUACGUGCCAGCAGCCGCGGUAAUACGUAUGGAGCAAGCGUUAUCCGGAUUUACUGGGUGUAAAGGGAGUGUAGGCGGCUGCGCAAGUCAGAAGUGAAAGCCCGGGGCUUAACCCCGGGACUGCUUUUGAAACUGUGUAGCUAGAGUGCAGGAGAGGCAAGCGGAAUUCCUAGUGUAGCGGUGAAAUGCGUAGAUAUUAGGAAGAACACCGGUGGCGAAGGCGGCUUGCUGGACUGAGACCGACGCUGAGGCUCGAAAGCGUGGGGAGCAAACAGGAUUAGAUACCCUGGUA
This 434-nucleotide ribosomal RNA is filed under the name uncultured Clostridium sp. RNAcentral's name for it is "partial 16S ribosomal RNA". It matches the Rfam family "Bacterial small subunit ribosomal RNA", at positions 341 to 792 of the family's 1533-position model. The record is from RNAcentral. Lineage: Bacteria; Bacillati; Bacillota; Clostridia; Eubacteriales; Clostridiaceae.